This is a long non-coding RNA of Capsicum annuum, 2625 nucleotides long. RefSeq lists it as uncharacterized. The record is from RefSeq and is a predicted model, not a curated record. Lineage: Eukaryota; Viridiplantae; Streptophyta; Magnoliopsida; Solanales; Solanaceae. The transcript has 2 exons.
UUAAUUAGUGUCAUCAGUAGAUGUGUUUUCACAAAUAAUUUUCUUUCUCAACGUUAUUUAACUUUUGUUUGAAAUAUGAAAUCCAUUAUUGUUUGGUUUAUCGCGCCACUAAUUUUCUUCAUCAUUUAGCUAUGUAACAGUUUCGUAGUUUGUGUCUAUGUUAUCGUGUUUCUUUUCACGGUUACUGCUAUUAUUCGUAUAUUCUUUUCAGCAUACAAUGUGAAUUUCACUAUGAAAAUGGAUGAUACAGUAAUAUUGGUUAGACAUCCCUUCUAUUUCUAUCUUCUCAUUGUUACCAUAAGAGGAUCAUGAAGAAUUUCUUCAACGGAAUAAAAAUCAGCAAUAAAACUGGUAAAACAUAAAAAGAGCGAAAUAUUAAUCACCAGUCUUAGAUGGAGGUCUUCCAGUUCUUCCCCUUCUUGGAUAAGGAUACUCUUUGUAUCCUCCAAGCACUGGUCGGGCAAUAAGUGGACUAUCGGGAUCUCCAAAAUUAUUUCACAUAUCAUACUCAUAAAUCCUGUCCCAUUCCUCAAGCUUUACGCUUCCAGUUCCUCUGAAAUGAAGCAACUUGUCCUCUCUGUAGCUGCAGCCUCCUGGAGUUUCACUAGGAUGCCAAGCAUAAUUUCUAAGGUUCUUAUUUAGGUAAAGAUCUUAUAAUUUGAUAUUUAAUUUAACAUUGGAUACUUCUGAAAACCACGAGGUCCUGUUCAUAAAACUACAGAACAUCUUCAAAGUUCUUCAACUCAUUAAGAGUGAAAUCUCCCAUAUCAGCAAGCUGAAGAGAAAAGAAUUGUGCCGUAGCUUUUUGUGCAUUACUAAGGACGUUUUUCAGCUUCAAGGGCGCAAAUUUUUCAUCCUCUUUGUAGCUACACAAUGCUGUUGGAGUUUCAUUAGGAAGCCAAGCAUACUUUCAAAAGUUCUUAUAUAGGUAAAGAUCUUAUAAUUUGAUAUUUUAUUUAACAUUGGAUACUUAUGAAAACCAGGAGCUCCUGUUCAUAUUACUUUUGCUUCGAGGAUAGAACUAAACCUCACCAAUAUUACUGCCUGUCAUGGAAAACAUAUUUGUCAUUCAAGUAAUGGGAGAGUCAUCAAGCAUAAGUAUAGUAGCUAUAACCAAAGGCCAAAUGUGACACCUAAGAAUAUAUAUGAAAAGUCAGUCCCUGGUAGCUUAACUGAGGUAUCUAAGGGUCAUAGACAUAUUGUUAAUAGUGUUCCAUCAACUGACAUUCAUGAACUUCACUUAAAUGAUGAAUCAAACAUGGUCAAUAAUGCCAAGCGUGCGGUCAAUUCUUCCUCACAGCCGACAACGUAAUAGGACCAACAAGAACAAACAGAAGCGUGAUACUUUGAUGGUCGAGUUAUUAACCGUUGGAAACCUCUACCAUGAUAUGGAGGAUCAUCCAAAAUCAAACUCUUUAACCCAUUAGGCUAAGGUCCACGUACAGUCUACACUCAUUUCACGGGGUAUGUUGUUCUUUUUGUUGUCAUUAUUGUUUUUGUAAUUAGUAGUUGCUAUAUUUUUUCAUGUCGUGCUUCAUUUUCAUAUCUACAUUGAUUUGUUGUACUCAAACCGAGGAUCACAACCUCUAUACCUCCGUGAGGUAGGGGUAAUGUCUGCGUAUAUUUCACUUGUGGGAUUUCAUUAUUAUUGUUUUUGUUGUAUUUGUUUGAUUCAUUGAUUUGGGUUUUUGUUAAAGAUUCGAUGUUGAUGUUUAUUUAAUGAUUCUAUUGUUGUCAGGCAAUUCUUUUGGUCCAGAUGGUACAACCGGCAGGGCAGAAUGUAGGCAUCAAAACUCUGGGUGUUCCGCACCUACCUGACCUGCAACUGAGAGUUUUCCCAUAUAGUUGAGGGAAGCUGAUGGAAAACAUAUUUAAAAUAAGCAAUGAAAACCACAUGGCGCGUCUACGCAACGGGUUUCAACUGAAUUGAAAUAGUAUACUGCCAUUACUGGGCCCUUUCAAAUGAAGUUGCUUCAGUUGGGGAUAGCUGCUUUCGGAAGUGUUGAUUUCUACUGAUAUGCUACAAUUGUUCACUUCUUACUGUCAUUCCACGACUGCAAGUAUAGACGUGACAAAAAUCAAGUGUACAUAUUUGCUGCAGACACGGUUCCUAGACGGCUAACUACAGCACAACAUGUACAUUUACCCACAGUGGGAGCUGAUAAGUUUGGGAAUAUCUACUUUGGAGAUGCAUUUAAGGCAAUAGUUACCACCUUUAUAUGCCAGGGAUCACAUGGCCUACAGAUCUGCCUACUUCCCAGCUAAGGCUGCGUUAAAUGGAAAAAAUCGCAACAACAUAUGAAAUGCAAGGUGUAAAUGCCAUCCAUGUGUUCAAGUUCAUAACCCACUUUGGAGUGGACAAAUCUAUUGGGUUUUGUUUGAAGUACGCUCCAUUGAGAAAGUAAAGAAGUAUGAGCCAUACAAACUGAUCCACAGUGAAUUCGACACUAAGGCGGACAAGUCUUCAAAGUAAAUGGAGGAGCGAAAGACAAAAACGUUGAUCCUUAUGAUUUGUUGUUUUUGCCCAACUUUAUAUUUUUGUUAGUCAUAAUCUUCUUCGGAUAUAUCUUGUGUAUAUGAAAGUGAUUCCUCAAUUUAUAUCCAUACUUGUAUGGUUUAUCCUGA